UCCCGAAAAAGAUAGAUUUUGAAUCAUGGCAAUCAACCUAGAACUAGUCAACCUAUAGUGGGAUGUUUGGAUAGGCUGUGAUGACUCCCAUGGUAAAAGGUCAGUUACUGAAGGGAUUGCAGAUUCAUGGAUCGAUUUAGAAUUUUGGUUUUCCAUAAGGUAAGAGUAAAGAAAAUAAAGAAAGAAUAUAAAAGAUAAGAAAAAAUAAAAGUAUAGAUACAAGGUAGUAGUAAGACUCAAGGCUAUCUCAGCAAACCGUCUUUCUCCCCGGCAACGGCGCCAGAAAUGCUUGUUGAUAUUUGGGAACGCAAUAAGGAAUUGAUCCGCAGGCGCACGGAUAUCGGUGAGCACUUCACCCGGGAGGUUAUCCAGAGUAUCGUAUUUAUUUUUUUACCACUAGGAGAAAGAGUGCAUCUGACUAACCCGGUCUAUUACUACUAACCCUUUAGGCAACAAAGAAUGUUUCUCGAUGUGAGUGAUAAAUAGAGAAGACUGCAACCGUAGUCUCUUUCUAACCUUGGUAAGGAUGAUCUACUGUUCUAUUGGGGAGGCUAACGGAAUCUAGACACCAC
Molecule: long non-coding RNA, 572 nt
Filed under: Sorghum bicolor (sorghum)
Lineage: Eukaryota; Viridiplantae; Streptophyta; Magnoliopsida; Poales; Poaceae
Description: long non-coding RNA (SBIC_LNC009372)
Source: RNAcentral